Molecule: long non-coding RNA, 1440 nt
Organism: Tigriopus californicus
Lineage: Eukaryota; Metazoa; Arthropoda; Copepoda; Harpacticoida; Harpacticidae
Exons: 2
Source: RefSeq, a predicted model, not a curated record
AGUCCUGAGUAUGUAGGAAAAGUUUGCAGGAACAGAGAUUGAAAUCAGGUGUCGAGAACCUCGAUUAAAAGGCGGCCAUCUUGUAACAUUGAUUGAAGAACUGAUGUUGAUGAAGCGCUUUAGCAGCUUUGAAAAAUUGAUACAUGAUGUUAGAAUAUGGAUUGGAACGUAAUCAACCUCGCAUUGCGUGAGAGUGAGAACAGACAUUAUUUCAGGAUCUAUAUAUCUCCCCUUCGCUCGAACGAUAAGGCCAAAAAAGAUACAAAAGAUCAUGGCCACGUCAAGCCAUCUGAAUAUUAUCUUCUCAGCUCACACCUAAGCUUAUUUACCAACAUACAUUGCCCCACAAAGGAUUGUGUUGCACGUUCACUGGCAGAAGAGCAACAUUGCAACGUUUACACAGACAUUAAUUAAUCACACCUUCGUUCUUUACCAACGUUUUACAUGUGACUCUGAUCUUAUCUUGUGAAUCUUUUCUGAUAAACGGGAUUUACGCGGUUGAUGCAUUAUUCUCCAUCCACCACAGUAAGCUUGCUCAGGAUCAUCCUAAGGUUGGCCACGGACUCAUCAAACAAAAUCGGAUGAGGCGGACCAGCCACGGGAAUGUGAUUGGCGUGUUCCAUAAACGGCUCCGGAGGCGGAUUGGAGUCCUCAUAUCCGACCACGGGAGGCGGUCUCUGAUAGGUCUGACUAUUGGGAUCCGCUGACAACAUGGGUGGAACACUCGGGUGGUUGACAUGAGAGUGCAUGUGAUGGCAAAUCCCGUUUUGAGCGUAAUGCGAACACGUGCAUUUGAACAAGUGGGCACAAUACUGAGGUGGGCAUCGCUGACAUUUGACUUGGCAGUACUCUUGAGCACAGAUGAUCUCGUCCGCCGGCUCUAGGAAGUAUUCCUCGGCACUUUUCUUGAAAUGGAGAUUGUUGAAUUCUUUCUGGAUCUUGGACAUGGUCUCUGGGUCUUGCGAUCCACUCAAGGAGGCCAGUUCAUUGUAGAAUAUCUUGGUGGAAUGCUUGAGUUUCUCAAUGCAGAUGUCCAUUCGGUCGACCGUGCUGAGCUGGCGGCGAAACAGGGUGAGAUAAGGCUCUGCGAUGUCAAUGGAGGUGGGCACACCGGGGGCGUGGCACCUGGCCCAUUCCACUGAAGGGCUGUAUUUGCCCUCAGGGCCGUAGUUUGACAAGAAAUAACUCAUUUCUUCGGUCUGAGCACAAUGGUAGAAUUGAGAGAUCCUUUGGGAGAACUCGAAUUUAUUAGUGAGCACUCUCAGGUUGAGAAUGGCAUCGAGUAAGUAUUUGUCCUUAAUGCGUUGCUUCAUGAGCUUCUCAAAGGCUCCGUCCAUCAAAACACGUUUCACCCAAGGAGCCUCAGCCUGACGGGAAACAACAGAGUUAAUAAUUAUUAACACAACAACUGAAACAUUAAGACUCAAGAAGGGCAAAAGA